AAAAAAAUUAAAACUUGUUCUAAUAUCUACGAUAGCAGAUUAGAAUAAUCAAAACUAGUUCCUUGCAUACAAGGGUAGCAACAGAACUACAUCAAACAAACAUUAUAAUAUAAACAGGAAAAUAAGCUCUAGUAUCUACGAUGAUCAAACAGAAUUUUAAUAUUAACACAAAUGGUCCCCAACAACAGCGUCAAAAACUUGAUACGCCACAAGCGUACGACAAUUUUCAGAGUAGUAAAAAGUAUUAUUCCUCAGAGACCAAUGGUUAAAUACCAUAUUCUAUCCUAUCUAUGUAAAGCUAGAGCAACCAAAU
Molecule: long non-coding RNA, 313 nt
Filed under: Lathyrus oleraceus (garden pea)
Lineage: Eukaryota; Viridiplantae; Streptophyta; Magnoliopsida; Fabales; Fabaceae
Description: Pisum sativum (pea) long non-coding RNA (PSAT_LNC013508)
Source: RNAcentral